This 429-nucleotide ribosomal RNA is filed under the name Pseudomonadota bacterium. RNAcentral's name for it is "Proteobacteria bacterium partial 16S ribosomal RNA". It matches the Rfam family "Bacterial small subunit ribosomal RNA", at positions 355 to 776 of the family's 1533-position model. Lineage: Bacteria; Pseudomonadati; Pseudomonadota. The record is from RNAcentral.
UGGGGAAUAUUGGACAAUGGGCGAAAGCCUGAUCCAGCCAUGCCGCGUGUGUGAAGAAGGUCUUCGGAUUGUAAAGCACUUUAAGUUGGGAGGAAGGGCAGUAAGCGAAUACCUUGCUGUUUUGACGUUACCGACAGAAUAAGCACCGGCUAACUCUGUGCCAGCAGCCGCGGUAAUACAGAGGGUGCAAGCGUUAAUCGGAAUUACUGGGCGUAAAGCGCGCGUAGGUGGUUCGUUAAGUUGAAUGUGAAAGCCCCGGGCUCAACCUGGGAACGGCAUCCAAAACUGGCGAGCUAGAGUAGGGCAGAUGGUGGUGGAAUGUCCUGUGUAGCGGAGAAAUGCGUAGAUAUAGGAAGGAACACCAGUGGCGAAGGCGACCACCUGGGCUCAUACUGACACUGAAGUGCGAAAGCGUGGGGAGCAAACAGG